GGAAGCCCUCGCAAAGGCAACUGCCUAGCUGGAUUUUGCUGAUUACUUUCAGCGCACUGACAGCUCCUGGUCCUGUGGCAGCUUGAGGUGUGGCCGCGUGGCUGAGUUCUGGACAAGGAAAUAGGCUGUCCCCUGCCUGCCCACACAUUUUCUGCUAGCCAGAUGGAGAGUGCCAGAGGUGUGUGCUGAGGCCCUGGAGCAGCAUCAGUGGAAAACUCACACAACACCAACUGGAAAGCCAGAAAUAAACCCGUGUGCUGCUGUGUGCCUAAGCUGGAGCGGUUCUCUGUACAUCGAUCAGCUUCUAUGGAUGUGUACCUAAUGGCUGCAAGUUAAGUUAUGUGACAUUCCUCAUAUUGAGCAUAGAUGGGGGGUCUGUGUUCCUGUGAACCGGUCCGGCCAAGAGAAUAUAAAAGGUAAUGUUUGCUUUGUUUAAUUUUUAAAGUCUCUCUCCUCUUUCGUGUGUGUGUGUGUGUGUGUGUGUGUGUGUGCAGUACAAGGAUGAAACAGAGGCCUUAUGAGUGCUGUGCUAGCCACUAUGGGUGUGUGGAGGUCAAAAGAUGUUCUAAUUAGCUUCCUAUGACUCUGAUGAAACACCGUCCAUAAGCAUCUUGGGAAAGAAAGGGUUUAUCUCAUCUUACAUAUGCAGACAACCGUCCAUCACGGAGGGGAGUCUGGGUAUUAACUCAAGACAGGAACCUGGAAGCAGGAACUGAAAUACAGACAGACCAUGGAGGAACACUGACGACUGGCAACUCCUAGUUGCUCUGCUGGCUAUUUUAUACGUCCCAAGACCACCCACCCAGGAGUGGCACUCACUGCAAACACAAAACAAGCCCUAGUGGUUGGGUGGUUCCUUUCUUGGGUGACCCCCGGAAGCCUGUGGCUACAGAGAGAGUCGGGGUGAGCGGGUGAGGGGGCUGGCUCAGUCCCUACAGGGAGGUCUUACUCUACCCAGCCUUAAUCAGUAGCUCAGCAACAAACAGCCGGCAGGUCAGAGAGCCCGCCACACACACUGUGGCUCAGUUAGCUCGGGCACCCUGCCUGCAGCUCCUUCAGACACAGUUUUUAGGAGCCCAGCCGUGCAGCAAGCAAGCUGCCCGCCCACCCAGCUCCCUGUCUUGCAUGGGCUGCAGCUCCAUGAUCUUCUCUAAAAUUACCUAAAUAGAUUAGGUCCUGGAUAUGGGCUGCUCACCGCCUCUCCUGGCCCCUCCCCUCUGCCAAUCUGGACCCCUCUCUCCCAGCUCCAGGUUUCUAAAAGCCCAGGCCCAAUUAUCAGGGAUACCACAAAACCCAGCACUUUCCCCUCCAUUUCCCACAAACCUGAAGGAAGUGAAUAAGACUCUUAUCGCGCUUUUAAGUAGUGUGUGUGUGUUGCUAUUGUUAUUGUAAGUGAAAUCAGAAGCAGAGAGGAAGGGAGGCCUCCGGGAAGGCUUUGACCCCCUCCUUCUCUACUUAGCCAAGGUCCCUGGCUUGUGCAGCAGGGUUUUAAUAUUUCCAGCGGAACCACAGACAAGGUGGUAAGGAAUGGGGAAGGGUGUGUUUGGAGGGAAAACAUUGUUUCUGGGAAGUAGAGAGAUAGAAAACACCUGUGGGUUUGUAUAAAAAAAAAAAAAAUGACCUCUGCUUGAGCACAGGAGGAACUGCCAAAGCACCAUUUCCCAUCACGGUCUCAACUGGAAGCUCUGUGUUGUCCCAGAACAAGGAAAUCUUCUGUGGCUCCUUCACACCAUAGAUUACCGUACAGAGAUGAAAACCCCAAGCUACCCUUGCUCCAAACGUGGAAGCUGUUGCAAAUACAUCAUUAGCUGAAAAAGGCCUGACUCAGAAGGUGGCCUAUUGAAUGCCACCGUUUAUGCAAGAUUUCAGGAGCCGGCAAGAAGCAGCUACAGGGCACAGACAUGAUUGUGCAGUAUAAAAAGAGAGUGAAUUCCAUAGAGGAGCAGACAGGGUCAUGAGAGGGCUUCUGAGUGCUAUCGGCAAGCCCCUCCUCACUGUCUCUCUCUCACUGUAUCUCCAUGUGGCCUGGAACAAAGUGGCUCAGGCUGGCCUCAGACUUUCAGCGAUCUUCCUGCUUCAGUCUCUGGUGUUGGGUUGCAGACACGAGACACCACAAUCAGCUUGCUUGCUUUCCUCUUCCUUCUUUCUUCUCCUCACUUCCUCUUCUCAUUUCCCCCUUCUCGUGUCCUCUUCUCACUUCUCCUUCUUGCUUCCCCUUCUCAGUUCCUCUUCUUGUCCUUUCCGUUCUUCCUCUUUCUCUUUUCCUGGGGAGUGUAUUGCGAAACUACUCUUUUUGUUGCUGUGACCAAAUACUUGCCAAGGCAACUUAAAGGAGGAAGGACUUGCUGUGGCUCCCUCUCUGAGGAAGUACAGUUCGCUGUAGAGGGAAGGUCUGGUGGCUCUGGGUGGUGGCAGAGGCAUGCAGCUGUGACUCCUUCAUUUCCUGCCUCUUUCUGUGUCUGCCCUUCCCCUUUUCAUACAGAAAAACUUUUUUUUUUUUUUUUUUUGAGAACACGAUGAGCCAUUUUUUGACCUGGGAGUAAAUUAUGUGCAAUUUGUUUUGUUUUGUCUUGUUUUUGUUUUUAAAAGAUUUAUGUAUUACUACAUCUAUGUACACUAUAUCUGUCUUCAGACACACCAGAAGAGGGUGUUAGAUCUCAUUACGGAUGGUUGUGAGCCACCAUGUGGUUGCUGGGAUUUGAACUCAGGACCUUCAAAAGAACAGUCAGUGCUCUUAUCAGCUGAGCCAUCUCACCAGCCCUGGUUUGGGUUUUUUGUUUGUUUGUUUUGUUUUUUUUUUGGUUUUGGUUUUGGUUUUUCGAGACAAGGUUUCUCUGUGUAGCCCUGGCUGUCCUGGAACUCACUCUGUAGACCCGGCUGGCCUUGAACUCAGAAAUCCACCUGCCUCUGCCUCCCAAGUGCUGGGAUUAAAGGCAUGUGCCACCAUGCCCAGCAAGGUUUGGUUUUUUUUGAGACAGGGUUUCUGUAUGUAUCCCUGGCUGUUCUGAAACUUGCACUGUAGAUCAUGCUGACCUUGAACUCAGAGAUCAGCCUGCCUCUGCCUUCUGCGUGCUGGGAUUAAAGGCAUGUGCCACUGAAGCCCACCUACAUGCAAUUUUUAAUUUAAAAUAUUUCAAUCCUUUUUUUCUUACAUUUUGUAAUAUAUAUAUAUAUAUAUAUAUAUAUACAUAUACAUAUACAUAUACAUAUAUAUGUGUGUGAUAUUGUGAUAUAUGAUAUAUUGUAGCUUAAACUUUGUGUAUUUUUAUUUUUAUAGUAAUAUAUGAUAUAUACUGAUAUGUAUGAUAUAUUAUAUAUACAUAUAUCUUUGUGGGUUUUUUCUCCUUUUUAUACAGCAAUCUCUUCACACUGCUGAGACUGAACUUGAAUUCCUGGGUGAGUCUUAGGAUUCUCAGUUGAUCCUCCUGCCUCAGAGUUCAGAGAAGCUAUAUGUCUCAUCAUAAGCUUAUAUUCUUGUGUCCAUAUAUGUCUAGAAAAGGUGAGUAUUUUCUGGGGCAGGCAAGUCACACAUUGGCACAUUCUCAGGCUACAACACCUCCAGGUCUCCCCUUGUUGUUCACUGUGGCUGAUGACAGUAAAUCUGUGUCAAGUCACAGAAGGAAGGUCAAAGAAAAACAGAAAGACCCGGACAACACAACAUCAUUACAGCACUGGGCCACCUCAGGGCACUUACACUCAGGGUCAGAGGUGUGGGUCAGCAGAACAGCACUUGCCUGGCAUGGGGGAGGUCCUGCAUUUGGCUUCAAGCUCUGAUAAGGGUGAAGCCGAUAAUAAAGGAUAAAUACACAGGGCAGCAAAGACCAAAGAGAACUGUUCCAGCUUAAAGAGGACACCCAGCUCUGGGGGUGCAAACCUGUGCUCUCAGCCAUUCGGGAGGUUGAAAUGGAUUGAUCAUUUGACCCCAGAAAUCUAAGCCCAGCAGAAAAUAAAUUAAAAAAAAAAAAAAAAGGCAUGUCGGAGA
Molecule: long non-coding RNA, 3982 nt
Organism: Mus musculus (house mouse)
Lineage: Eukaryota; Metazoa; Chordata; Mammalia; Rodentia; Muridae
Product: predicted gene, 40550
Exons: 3
Source: RefSeq, a predicted model, not a curated record